RNAcentral lists this non-coding RNA (242 nucleotides) under Bacillus safensis. The record is from RNAcentral. Lineage: Bacteria; Bacillati; Bacillota; Bacilli; Caryophanales; Bacillaceae.
UUAAAAACCAUGAUAGAGGAAGAUUGUUUCAAGAAGCUGCCUUUUAGGGAGAAUGCAUCGUAGACUGAAAGUGCAUUUAAGGAAUGCUGAAACAGGAAUUCACCUCUGGAGUUGUCACCGGGACCGCAGGUUUUGCGUAAAGGUGAACCGGAUUCGUUUGAUUCCGUUAUGUCAAUGAAGCUUAUUCGCACAUGCAUUUGUGCUUAACAAGGGUGGUACCGCGACCACAACUCGUCCCUUCU